Molecule: ribosomal RNA, 496 nt
Filed under: uncultured bacterium
Lineage: Bacteria
Description: partial 16S ribosomal RNA
Rfam family: Bacterial small subunit ribosomal RNA
Source: RNAcentral
GAUGAACGCUGGCGGCGUGCCUAAUACAUGCAAGUCGAGCGAACGGACGAGAAGCUUGCUUCUCUGAUGUUAGCGGCGGACGGGUGAGUAACACGUGGAUAACCUACCUAUAAGACUGGGAUAACUUCGGGAAACCGGAGCUAAUACCGGAUAAUAUUUUGAACCGCAUGGUUCAAAAGUGAAGGACGGUCUUGCUGUCACUUAUAGAUGGAUCCGCGCUGCAUUAGCUAGUUGGUAAGGUAACGGCUUACCAAGGCAACGAUGCAUAGCCGACCUGAGAGGGUGAUCGGCCACACUGGAACUGAGACACGGUCCAGACUCCUACGGGAGGCAGCAGUAGGGAAUCUUCCGCAAUGGGCGAAAGCCUGACGGAGCAACGCCGCGUGAGUGAUGAAGGUCUGCGGAUCGUAAAACUCUGUUAUUAGGGAAGAACAUAUGUGUAAGUAACUGUGCACAUCUCGACGGUACCUAAUCAGAAAGCCACGGCUAACUACGU